GAUGAAGAACGUAGCGAAAUGCGAUACGUAAUGUGAAUUGCAAAUUCAGUGAAUCAUCGAGUCUUUGAACGCACAUUGUGCCCCCUGGUAUUCCGGGGGGCAUGCCUGUCCGAGCGUCAUUACUGCCCUCAAGCCCGGCUUGUGUGUUGGGCCCCGUCCUCCGAUCCCGGGGGACGGGCCCGAAAGGCAGCGGCGGCACCGCGUCCGGUCCUCGAGCGUAUGGGGCUUUGUCACCCGCUCUGUAGGCCCGGCCGGCGCUUGCCGAUCAACCCCAAUUUUUAUAGGUUGACCUCGGAUCAGGUAGGGAUACCCGCUGAACUUAAGCAUAUCAAUAAGCGGAGGA
RNAcentral lists this unclassified non-coding RNA (343 nucleotides) under soil metagenome. RNAcentral describes it as "partial contains 5.8S ribosomal RNA, internal transcribed spacer 2, and large subunit ribosomal RNA". The stretch from base 1 to 119 matches the Rfam family "5.8S ribosomal RNA", at positions 35 to 154 of the family's 154-position model. The record is from RNAcentral.